This 438-nucleotide ribosomal RNA is filed under the name Thermocrinis sp. RNAcentral describes it as "partial 23S ribosomal RNA". It matches the Rfam family "Bacterial large subunit ribosomal RNA", at positions 2476 to 2925 of the family's 2925-position model. Lineage: Bacteria; Pseudomonadati; Aquificota; Aquificia; Aquificales; Aquificaceae. The record is from RNAcentral.
AACAGGCUAAUCUCCCCCGAGAGCCCACAUCGACGGGGAGGUUUGGUACCUCGAUGUCGGCUCCCCCCAUCCUGGGGCUGAAGCAGGUCCCAAGGGUUGGGCUGUUCGCCCAUUAAAGGGGGACGCGAGCUGGGUUCAGAACGUCGCGAGACAGUUCGGUCCCUAUCCGCCGCGGGCGCAGGAGUCUUGAGGGGGUCCGUCCCUAGUACGAGAGGACCGGGACGGGGCAGGCUCUGGUGUACCGGUUAUCUCUCCAGGGGUAGCGCCGGGUAGCCAUCCUGCUACGGGAUAAGCGCUGAAAGCAUCUAAGCGCGAAGCCCACCCCAAGAUAAGGACUCCCUGAAGGGCCGUGGGAGACUACCACGUUGAUAGGCCGCAGGUGGAAGCUCCGUAAGGGGUGUAGCCGAGCGGUACUAAUAGCCCGUUCGACUUGCACAC